CUCCUGCUGCAUGCCCUGAUGCAAGACAGGCCAGACUCUGUGCUUGCCUAGCCUGCGCUGAGUAGCCUCCAGUAACCAAGACUGUGAAGCUCCUCUGGAGAUGCCUUUCAAGAGCUUCCUCCAGCUUUUUUUCUGUGCUUCCUUCCUCCUUGUAGCAAGACAAUGAAGCAGAAAACUAAAGGGGAGGAUGAACUGCAGAGCAGGGCGGGUCCUGUCCUGUGCUCAUCCCCUGUGGCUGGGGGGAUAUCCACACAUACAAUUCUGCUUCUUUAACAGAACUCAGCUCUGGGUACAACCAGCGGUUUGCAGCACUGGUGAAGAACUUGGUGCUGAGCCACCCCACAGCCCCGGGCUUUGCCAUGCUCCCCAUCCCCAGGAGAACAGGACUGUGGCUAUCUCUCCCCACAGGACCUCCACCUUGGAGGUGGCUGCAGCUGCUUGGUAUCCGCAUGUCCCUUUCCUCCCUCUCCUUCAUUAAGGCACCAAACUCUUCCCAAUAACAAGGGGGCUUCUGUUCGACAAAGCCUGCCAAUUAGUCAUUCUGGCUGGGUAUAAACGUGGCACUUGAGCAGCUGAGGGGACGGCGGGCAGUCCUGCCCCUUCUCGCGGCGUUGCCAAGCUUGCCAUUAACACAAUGUGACAACUAAUCUCUCUAUAGCAUCUGACUGAGCAAUUUUAAUUAAUAGCUCUGUACGCUUGCAUGCUCCCCCACCCCCUCUGCUUCGCACAGGUACUGCAUGCCUUCAAAGCUCCUUCCCCUCUGCUGCAGCCUGAGUGCACAAAAGGAGGAAAACAGCCUGUGUUUUGCCCCAGUUAGCAUGGAAAUGCUGCUCGGUUUGGGGUUCUGGUCCUUGGGCUGAGGCAAGGCUUGCUGCCCACCCCGUUCCCCCUCCCUUCUGUGGGGCUGAGGACUUCAAUAAACACGGUUGCUCUGGGGCGGAGGUGUUUUCUCAGCUCUGUUGGCGAUUGGGACAUUCCUGUGGUGCCCUGUGAGAGGCAAGGAGCUGGCAGGACUGUGCUGGCUUCACAGACUGGAUGUGGGGGAAAUGGAGGGAACUAAAGGGGUAUUUCUGCUACUCCUCCAAAAAAAGCCUCCCUGGCUUUAUCCAAGUGCCUAUAGCAUCAGAAAAAAAUUAAUGCCAUUUCCAUGUCCAGGUUGUCCCCUGAUGUGAAGAGCCACAGCCUGGCAGAUGGCUGCUGUUGAGGCUGCUGCAGUUUCGGUGCGGAGGUGUCUCAGUUUGCUUUUGGACAACGGAAAAGGCUCAUCCAUGGUGGUAUUGAGUAGCCAAGACCAAAGAUGGUACCGGGGUGACUGAACAUGAUAAAAUUGUUCAGACUUUGGGCACUUACCUGAAAGGAAUACAUCUUGGAGAAAUAUGUCUCUUCUCAUGGUAAUAUGGCUCAACAAUCACUCUGCUGCAGGUCCCUCCUGCCUAGGGGCUCCUCAGAGCUCUUUCUUCAGACCACCAGAGCAAGUCCUCAAGGGCACCAUGGCACACUUGGGCUUGAGCAGAACAUCCACACUUUCUUCAGGUUCAUGCUCUUGUGGUACAUGGAUAUGUGCACUGUCACCUUGGCAGGACAACUGUGGCAUCAGGAGCCCAUAGCCUUGAAGAAUGACCAUGCAGGAAAAGGAGAGCAGAAACCACCACAACUGGAAAUGGUCCUUCCAGGUCACAACUGAGGGAAGCCCUUUCUCUCAAGAUACGGCUGUGCUGGUGGAUAACACAGCAGUCUGGGAAUACCCAUCCACUGUGGAAACAUUGCUCAUUAUGGACAAAUACAGAGCUUGCCCUCCCAGUGGAGAGAUAGCACACCAGGACACAGAGGGGUCACUUUGGCCAGACAGCUGGUGAAUGUAUCCACCCAUCUGCAACCUGGGAAGCAUGAUGUGCACCAGCCAUGCCCUGACCCAGUCCUGAGAAGAGCAUCUCUGCCCUGCAGUGCAGACCAGGGGGAUGCACGGGGAAGCAGUGCAGAAGCCAGUGCUCCCCGGCACGUUGGUGGCAGGCGGACAUGGAACCUGCCCCAUCUGCCCACGCGGCAGCACGGCAGGGAGCUAAUGAGAAGCAAGGUGAGAGGCAGGAGACAGGCUGACAACUUACUGGCAGAAGGACGGCAUCUGCCCCCCUCCCCUUCCCCAGCAUCUCCAGCCUCAUAAUGAGGUUAUUACUGGCCUGCUGCUUGAUGGCCAGCACCAGCAUCCCUCACCUCUUCAUCCUCCCAAUUCCCACUUGUGGCUAGGGGAGGGCUGAGCCAGGCUUCACUCUGUCCUCACACUCGGGUUGGCCCCUCCUAGGAAGGAGGAAUGGUUUUGACCUUGUUUGCAGAGGAGCUGGUGCUCCCGUGCUUGCUGCCUGUCCAUCCCCUUUAUUAUCUCUUGAACGCUUCUGGCCUGUUGCAGUCUGGUUUGACAGGGGGAGAAGUCUCAAAGAUAAUUAAGUUCCUACAAGUUCUGUGAAAAUAGGCAGGCAGAAGAGGGGAAUGCACUAAGGGCUUCUGGGGAGGAGUGGGCUCCUGACGGGGAGGCUGAGCCUUGGAACGGCAGCUGCCAUGCUCAUGGAGCUCAUGGAAAGCCCCUUCUGAGACCUGGCUUGGAAAACUGAGGAAGCUUGCUUAACGAGGUGUUUUCUCUCUUUGGGUCUGCCAGAGGAAGGGUAGGAUUUCACAGGAUAUGCCCAGGAGUGCUGAGAU
This is a long non-coding RNA of Pogoniulus pusillus (Red-fronted tinkerbird), 2694 nucleotides long. RefSeq lists it as uncharacterized. The transcript is spliced from 3 exons. The record is from RefSeq and is a predicted model, not a curated record. NCBI's taxonomy places the organism in Eukaryota, Metazoa, Chordata, Aves, Piciformes, Lybiidae.